AUGAUGCCAGCUUGCUGGUGGAUUAGUGGCGAACGGGUGAGUAACACGUGAGUAACCUGCCCUUGACUCUGGGAUAAGCCUGGGAAACUGGGUCUAAUACCGGAUAUGACCUUCCAUCGCAUGGUGGUUGGUGGAAAGCUUUUGUGGUUUUGGAUGGACUCGCGGCCUAUCAGCUUGUUGGUGGGGUAAUGGCCUACCAAGGCGACGACGGGUAGCCGGCCUGAGAGGGUGACCGGCCACACUGGGACUGAGACACGGCCCAGACUCCUACGGGAGGCAGCAGUGGGGAAUAUUGCACAAUGGGCGAAAGCCUGAUGCAGCGACGCCGCGUGAGGGAUGACGGCCUUCGGGUUGUAAACCUCUUUCAGUAGGGAAGAAGCGUAAGUGACGGUACCUGCAGAAGAAGCGCCGGCUAACUACGUGCCAGCAGCCGCGGUAAUACGUAGGGCGCAAGCGUUAUCCGGAAUUAUUGGGCGUAAAGAGCUCGUAGGCGGUUUGUCGCGUCUGCCGUGAAAGUCCGGGGCUCAACUCCGGAUCUGCGGUGGGUACGGGCAGACUAGAGUGAUGUAGGGGAGACUGGAAUUCCUGGUGUAGCGGUGAAAUGCGCAG
RNAcentral lists this ribosomal RNA (609 nucleotides) under actinobacterium TH-G16. RNAcentral describes it as "bacterial SSU rRNA". It matches the Rfam family "Bacterial small subunit ribosomal RNA", at positions 69 to 693 of the family's 1533-position model. The record is from RNAcentral. Lineage: Bacteria; Bacillati; Actinomycetota; Actinomycetes.